Cladobotryum mycophilum is the source of this 93-nucleotide non-coding RNA. The record is from the annotation of a GenBank genome assembly. Lineage: Eukaryota; Fungi; Ascomycota; Sordariomycetes; Hypocreales; Hypocreaceae.
GGUCGAGUCGUAUAACGGUCAGUACAGUCGCCCCACAAUUUCAAUCGAACUUGAGGCGCGCGACAGACCCGGGUUCGAUUCCCGGCUCGACUA